UUACUAUAAUAUUUUUGGUUACAUUUUCACGAAAGAGUGUGAGCUAGAUAUAAUGUAUUUUAGGUAUAAACUAUUACGUAAUAGAGUAAUAGCUCAAUUUAUAUCUCGGAGUGAUAGGCCUUUCAAACGUCUUGAUAACUUGUUGUGUGGUAAAUAUAUUAAGUAUUAUAGCAUACUAUAAAAGUUAAGCUUUAUAGUUUGUAUAAAAGAAAGUAAUUUUUGAUUGCUAUAAAUUAACCCUUUAGCAGUAAGGUAACUAAAUAUUAAUCUUAUAUUAUUAUAUAAACUACCACACUAUUAUUACUUUACAAAGAUAGAUAAUGUAAGUAUAAGUAGUUAUAUUAAAUAUUUUAAAGGAACUCGGCAAAUAACCACUCAACUGUUUAUCAAAAACAUAACUAUAUGGCAUAAUAUAUAGCUUUUUCUGCUCCAUGAUACAUUAAAUAGCCGCAGUACCCUGACUGUGCAAAGGUAGCAUAAUCAAUUGGCUUUUAAUUAAGGUCUAGCAUGAAUGAAAGCAUGGGUGGUAACUGUCUUAAUAUAUUAUUUGAAUUUAGUAAGCAAGUGCAAAUACUUGUACUAAUAAAAAAGACGAGAAGACCCUAGAAACUUGAGAUAUUUUUGUUGGGGCGACAGAAUUACAAAUAACUAAUUUUAUUUAACAUGACGUUGAGCAGGUAGACUAAGUUACUCUAGGGAUAACAGCAUAAUUUUCUAUAGUUUGUGACCUCGAUGUUGGACUAGGAAUAUAACUUUUUAGAAGGGAGUUUUAUGUGCUCUGUUCGAGCAGCAAAUCCUACAUGAUCUGAGUU
This 812-nucleotide ribosomal RNA is filed under the name Massylaea punica. RNAcentral describes it as "partial large subunit ribosomal RNA". Lineage: Eukaryota; Metazoa; Mollusca; Gastropoda; Stylommatophora; Helicidae. The record is from RNAcentral.